Non-coding RNA from Sphaerodactylus townsendi, 72 nucleotides. The record is from the annotation of a RefSeq genome assembly. Lineage: Eukaryota; Metazoa; Chordata; Lepidosauria; Squamata; Sphaerodactylidae.
GGGGACGUGACUCAGUGGCAGAGUAUCUGCUUGGUACGCAGAAGGCUUUGGGUUCAAUCCCCGGCAUCUCCA